This 301-nucleotide ribosomal RNA is filed under the name uncultured bacterium. RNAcentral's name for it is "partial 16S ribosomal RNA". It matches the Rfam family "Bacterial small subunit ribosomal RNA", at positions 509 to 807 of the family's 1533-position model. The record is from RNAcentral.
CAGCAGCCGCGGUAAUACAGAGGGUGCGAGCGUUAAUCGGAUUUACUGGGCGUAAAGCGUGCGCAGGCGGUUUUGUAAGACAGAGGUGAAAUCCCCGGGCUCAACCUGGGAACUGCCUUUGUGACUGCAAGGCUAGAGUACGGCAGAGGGGGAUGGAAUUCCGCGUGUAGCAGUGAAAUGCGUAGAUAUGCGGAGGAACACCGAUGGCGAAGGCAAUCCCCUGGGCCUGUACUGACGCUCAUGCACGAAAGCGUGGGGAGCAAACAGGAUUAGAUACCCCUGUAGUCCCUGUCUCUUAUAC